GAGAGGAGAGGAGAGGAGAGGAGAGGAGAGGAGAGGAAGAAACCUAAUAAGUCCAACUUUCUAACCACUUCAGGUUGAACCAAAGAGAGCUGUGAAGACAAGGAAGCAAAAGGCUUCAUAUGUGUAGGGACCUAAUAGAAUGAAGUGAAACAGCCCUAGAGAGAUAUGUAAAUUGUACUGAAAAGCUCAAGAAGCCAGUGUGUUGGAAGUGCUUACAGGACACUGCACCAAGGACAGAGGGGUCUGGAAGAGAAGAGAAGGGGAGAGAUCCUGGUCACAGUGCAACACAGUGAUGUGCUGCAACCAACCGUAAGAAGAAAUUGACCUACCUGGCUGUUCU
This 340-nucleotide long non-coding RNA is filed under the name Phasianus colchicus (ring-necked pheasant). Its description in RNAcentral is "lncRNA (ENSPCLG00000015635.1)". The record is from RNAcentral. Lineage: Eukaryota; Metazoa; Chordata; Aves; Galliformes; Phasianidae.